AAAUGGGUACUUCUUUUUUAAUAAUACAGAUUUGAAAGUUACUUUGGCAUAUUUUAAAUUUGGGUCUAUUGAACAAUGUUGUGACUAAAUAUUAAACAUGAUUCCUAUACACUUAGAUGAUAACCAAUAUAUACUUAAAUUAAACCAACCAUAAUAUCGAAAUCUAUCUAACUUUAAUCUUAAGUCAUCUCUGACCGUCUGUCAUCUUCUCCAUCUUCUUCCCCUCUUCCAUCAUCUGACUAAUCAUAAUUUAAAAAUCAUGAAAGCUAUUCUUGAUGUUACCAAGCUUUUCGAUGCGGAGCGAGUACGAGGCGGAGCGAGACCUUCCUGUUAUUAUUUUCCAUUGGAUCUCCGUAGAUCUCACGAGAGUUAUUCCAGAUUUUUUUUUUUUUUUUUUUUUGAUAAUCCAGGGGUUCUCCACUUACGUGGGUCAUUCCCUUGGGUCCGGUUAGGCAGCGGUCCACUUCAACCGGGAGGGCUUUAUCUGGGCUGGGGACAAGGCCCAACACCUAGUACCGCAUUUGGUGACAGAAUGGACAGUUCGCCUCCGCCUGGCGUCAAACUCGUGAGCAUGACAAUUGGCCCACAGAGUUAUUCCCGAUGUUACCAAGCUUUGCGAUGAAUUCUUGAUAAGGAAGAUGUUAUAUGAGAACUUAGAAGUAUUCGUGGAACGAUUUGGAAAUUUCUGAAUCAAUUAUAUUGUUCCCACUGCAGAGAACGCUCCCAUUUGCUGCUGCUAAGCAAACUUGGAUACAUACUUAGUUGAUUCACUCUUACAUGUUAUUCAUAUGUUCUGAUGUUUUUCUAAAUAGGAUAUCGAGGAUGUGAUUGUAGUCAAGAAACUAUAGAAAAAUUCUUGGUUAUCACUGCUGAGACAAAGUAGCUUUAAUUCGCCACUGUCAGGGAAGUCUACUCAAAAGGGCUCACCUACAUUUUGGGAGAGUGCAUUAAGGUCGGACUCCACGUAGAGACGACAUAGAUGGUGACAAAGCUGUUCAGUGUUUCAGAAAUAAUCACUGAACAUCAUAGAUUUUUUAAGUCUGAAAAGAAUAAAUCUACAACAUACCGCCAUAUAUGUUACUAAAUUAAAGCCAUCCAAGUUAAGCGAGUUGACAGGUUUACAACACACUGUAUCAAUAUAUUUGUUUCUCCAGUAGCUCCUCGUGUCUUUAGAAUCAUUGCUUUGACUUUUUAACAACUACGGAAGUCAUU
Brassica napus (rape) is the source of this 1212-nucleotide long non-coding RNA. RefSeq lists it as uncharacterized. NCBI's taxonomy places the organism in Eukaryota, Viridiplantae, Streptophyta, Magnoliopsida, Brassicales, Brassicaceae. The transcript is spliced from 2 exons. The record is from RefSeq and is a predicted model, not a curated record.